GCUCCUCUGGGAAAAAUCCAACAUCACUGAAUAGACUCUAGGAAGGCAGAUGUUGGCGGAGGAUGACGUGGAUGGAGUGACUGUAUCAUUGGUAACUGAAGCAAGUCUCAUCUGGACUCCAUGCCUUGGACUGUAAGCCCAAGGUGGGCACCACAUCUGCGUACUUCCCAGCUGCUACCACUGAGACUAUCAGAGAGGAGAUGCUGGCUUAUUGUCACAUACUGUCAGAUUCCAAAGCGAUCUGAAUGCCGUCUCUGACUCCUGCUCCAGUUUCUAAGCAGGGAAGACUGAAUGUGGCUGUAUGCGAUGAAAAACCCCACUCCCAAACUCAAGUGGCGACUUGGAUUCAGCCACCCUUGGUUGGCAUAAUCGGCAAUGGAGUGAAUAACUUCAGCAGAAUCAGGAGAGGAAAGCUAAGAUCAACACCUGCUUCUGUCUUCUCCACCCAAAGGGCUCAGGUACGUCAUACUUUUGUAAGAACUAAGUAAAAAUCAUUUCCCACUCUCUAAUUUCCUCUCCUUUUGCCAGUCCCAACACCAGGCAAAAGGAAGACACAAAUAGCCACCCUGGCAAUGACAUACAUGUAUUCUGGAUAGUUUUAAGGAUAAGCAGACACCCUGUGCCUGAUGAGGUAAGGAUGCUGUAUUGUAAGUCGGUGGCACCUAGUCACAGUCAGACAAGAAGAUGCAGAGACACAGGAUCAGGAAGUGAAGCGGUGCUCAACUCCAAGGCCCUCUUGGUAAAGCUGAUUUUGGAAACAGAGGGACACAUGGCUAGGUAUAAGGCGC
Mus musculus (house mouse) is the source of this 788-nucleotide long non-coding RNA. RefSeq annotates it as predicted gene, 34952. The transcript has 3 exons. NCBI's taxonomy places the organism in Eukaryota, Metazoa, Chordata, Mammalia, Rodentia, Muridae. The record is from RefSeq and is a predicted model, not a curated record.